GAUGAACGCUGGCGGCGUGCUUAACACAUGCAAGUCGAACGAUGAAGCCCAGCUUUCUGGGUGGAUUAGUUGCGAACGGGUGAGUAACACGCGAGUAACCUGCCCUUAUCUCUGGGAUAAGCCUGUUAAACUGGGUCUAAUACCGGAUAGGAGCGCCUACCGCAUGGUGGGUGUUGGAAAGAUUUAUCGGUUUUGGGUGGACUCUCGGCCUAUCAGCUUGUUGGUGAGGUAUUGGCUCACCAAGGCGAAGACGGGUAGCCGGCCUGUGAGGGUGACCGGCCACAAUGGGACUGAGAGACGGACCAGAAUCCUACGGGAGGCAGCAGUGGGGAAUAUUGCACAAUGGGCGCAAGCCUGAUGCAGAGACGCCGCGUGAGGGAUGACGGCCUUCGGGUUGUAAACCUCUUUCAGUAGGGAAGAAGCGAAAGUGACGGUACCUGAAGAAGAAGCACCGGCUAACUACGUG
RNAcentral lists this ribosomal RNA (466 nucleotides) under uncultured bacterium. RNAcentral describes it as "partial 16S ribosomal RNA". It matches the Rfam family "Bacterial small subunit ribosomal RNA", at positions 28 to 507 of the family's 1533-position model. The record is from RNAcentral.